CUACGGGAUGCACCAGUGGGGAAUAUUGCGCAAUGGGCGCAAGCCUGAUGCAGCCAUGCCGCGUGUAUGAAGAAGGCCUUCGGGUUGUAAAGUACUUUCAGCGGGGAGGAAGGGAGUAAAGUUAAUACCUUUGCUCAUUGACGUUACCCGCAGAAGAAGCACCGGCUAACUCACGUGCCAGCAGCCGCGGUAAUACGGAGGGUGCAAGCGUUAAUCGGAAUUACUGGGCGUAAAGCGCACGCAGGCGGUUUGUUAAGUCAGAUGUGAAAUCCCCGGGCUCAACCUGGGAACUGCAUCUGAUACUGGCAAGCUUGAGUCUCGUAGAGGGGGGUAGAAUUCCAGGUGUAGCGGUGAAAUGCGUAGAGAUCUGGAGGAAUACCGGUGGCGAAGGCGGCCCCCUGGACGAAGACUGACGCUCAGGUGCGAAAGCGUGGGGAGCAAACAGGAUUAGAUACCCCAGUAGUC
This 465-nucleotide ribosomal RNA is filed under the name uncultured bacterium. Its description in RNAcentral is "partial 16S ribosomal RNA". It matches the Rfam family "Bacterial small subunit ribosomal RNA", at positions 339 to 795 of the family's 1533-position model. The record is from RNAcentral.